This 408-nucleotide ribosomal RNA is filed under the name uncultured bacterium. Its description in RNAcentral is "partial 16S ribosomal RNA". It matches the Rfam family "Bacterial small subunit ribosomal RNA", at positions 28 to 526 of the family's 1533-position model. The record is from RNAcentral.
GACGAACGCUGGCGGCGUGCCUAAUACAUGCAAGUCGAGCGAAGCGCCGGAUGGGUUAGUAACGCGUGGGUAACCUGGCCUUAAGUCUGGGAUACAAUUUGGAAACAGAUUCUGAUACCGGAUACUAAAGGAUGGACCUGCGAUGCAUUAGCUAGUUGGUAAGGUAACGGCUUACCAAGGCGAUGAUGCAUAGCCGGUCUGAGAGACUGAUCAGCCACACUGGAACUGAGACACGGCCCAGACUCCUACGGGAGGCAGCAGUAGGGAAUAUUGCACAAUGGACGAAAGUCUGAUGGAGCAACGCCGCGUGAGUGAAGAAGGUUUUCGGAUCGUAAAGCACUGUUGUUGGGGAAGCGGUACUCAACAAGAAAGUCACGGCUAACUACGUGCCAGCAGCCGCGGUAAUAC